UACGUAGGGGGCGAGCGUUGUCCGGAGUUACUGGGCGUAAAGCGCUUGUAGGCGGUCCACCAAGUUUGGGGUGACAGUUGCCGACUUAAUCGGCAAAGUGCCUCAAAGACUGGCGGACUUGAGGGCCACAGAGGGACAUGGAACUCCAGGUGUAGUGGUGAAAUGCGUAGAUAUCUGGAAGAACACCAAAGGCGAAGGCAGUGUCCUGGGUGGUCGCUGACACUGAGAGGCGAAAGCCAGGGGAGCGAACGGG
Molecule: ribosomal RNA, 253 nt
Filed under: uncultured bacterium
Lineage: Bacteria
Description: partial 16S ribosomal RNA
Rfam family: Bacterial small subunit ribosomal RNA
Source: RNAcentral